CACAGGUCUUCCUACACACUCCCCCUAAUGGUGCCCCCAAAGCAUUACACUAAAUAUGCUUUACUGACAUCUAGUGGUGCGUCUAAAGCAUUAAGCUCAUUAUGCUUUUUUUAUGACAAAAAGUCAUUAAUUAAUAAAUACCAUUACAAACCACCCUUUGACUUAUGUCAUAAAACAAACAUUAUAAACCCGUACAUCUACCCUAUUUUAACAGUACCUGCCCUACAACAAAACCCACCUUUUUAAGAAUGAUACCCAUUUACCCGUAAAGUUAUGACACUUUAUUGCUUAU
RNAcentral lists this long non-coding RNA (292 nucleotides) under Pelobates cultripes (western spadefoot toad). The record is from RNAcentral. Lineage: Eukaryota; Metazoa; Chordata; Amphibia; Anura; Pelobatidae.